This is a long non-coding RNA of Colius striatus (speckled mousebird), 9315 nucleotides long. RefSeq lists it as uncharacterized. Lineage: Eukaryota; Metazoa; Chordata; Aves; Coliiformes; Coliidae. The transcript is spliced from 4 exons. The record is from RefSeq and is a predicted model, not a curated record.
AUCUUGCUCUGGGAGCUGUUCCUCCUCCCUAACAGGCCUUGCUUCCCCAGCUGACAGUUAGCAGCCGGCAAUGCUUGAUAAACUUAUCAGACCAAAGCUGAGCUCAGUGCAUGCUCAGCUCCUCCCCAGCCUCAGAUUUCCCCAUUCCCCUGGACCCUUUGCUCUCUGCCUGCCAUGCUGUCUGGUACAGUGUACAUGGAUCACCCUUGGGCCUACAGGUCAAAAUCAGCCCAUGACCCAGAUUGAAGAAUGCCUGUACUGAAGCAACACCUUUAAAAUGAAAGUGUCAAGUGAGAUGUUUGUAGCAUCCGUAUCUUGCUCUGCCUCUCUCCCUCAAAUACUGUUCACUGGUGGAAAUGCUGCUCUUGGCUGGUUUAUCCUCUCUGUUUCUGCUUGUCCUGUUUCUCUGCUCAUUUGGCAGCUUAGUGCUUUUCAUGUACAGUUCUUGCUGUAGACAUUUGGAGGGUUUCUUUCUAAGACUUCAGUUGCUUUGCUGAAUUUUCUAUCACUCGUUAGUAUCACAGUAGCACUGAGACAUUCCAGCCAAGAUCAAGGCUCCAUUGUGUGAGGUGCUGUAUGUGAAAGAUAAGGGGGGGCAGGGGGUCCUUUUCCUGACUAUCUUACCAUUGAAAUAAACAAGUGAAGAGGAGAGGGGAGAUUAUCCUCCUCUCACAGAUGGGGUGAAGCUUUCUGUGAGCUUCAUGGCAUGCUGAGCAACUUCAGAAAUCCAGCUCAUGCAGGAAACGUGUGGCAGAUCUCAAGUCUCAGUUCAGCUUUAAGAUCAGUGGGUCUGUCGUGACUGUUGGUUGAAAGAUGGUGGGUCAGGAGCUCUGCAGGGAUCUGCCUCAUUCAGCACAGAAGCAAUUGACUGACUCAACUGUCGUUCAAUAGUUUUGGUGUGGCUGUUCUGGGUUGUCUAUUCUGUGUGUCCCUACUAUUUCAGGGCAAAAGUGGAAAAACAUUUCUGCUUUGUGAGCAGAAUAAGUGAUGAAUUGUGUGUGGUGUACUUUUUUUUAUGCUGUAGCAGCUUUGCAGGUCAAGCUCCCAGGUUGGGCCCUUAAGAGUGGGCAGGAACGUUCACAAGCAUAUGUGUGCAUGCAGCUAUUUCUAGGAGAUUGUCUAAAGCCUUCAGCUUUCCCCUUGUGUGCUGUGCUAGAACUGACUUGCUGGAGCGUCCCUAUCACCCAACACUGCAUGGCCCUGAGGGAACGACCUGCUGUGAGGACAAGGCCCUCUGCUCUUGUCUCUUUCUUUUUUUCACUGAAAAUACUUUCUCAUGAGUCCAAGGUGGGAAACAACUGGACUCAGCAAAUGGUGUUUUUCCCCAGUACAGUGUAUACCCCACUGGUGCCUAAUUCUUUCCUGUCCUUCCUCUCAGUUCCUUUUAGACUUUCCCUAACCAUUGCCAAUGCAGAGUGAAAACUUCAGGGUUUUGCCUUCUCUAGGUUUUUCUCUCUGUGUAAGUUAACACAACCUGAAGAUAAGCUUCAGUGUAAUGCUCUGCUAGCUGGGAACACACCUCUGCUUCCUGCAGGUGUCCUGUGGCUCUGCCCUCAUUAAGAAUAGAACGAUGCAUCCCAUGUCCAACCUUAAAUCCACCCUUGAUCAUAGUAUUUCUGGGCUCCUGCUCUCAGCACUUGAAGGCUGUCUGGAAGACACAGAGGCACCUUCUGACAGAUGCUCGGGGUUAUUGCUUUGCAUGUCCCUCAUUUGCUAAACAAAACAGCCCAAAGACCAGGAUUUUCUUUCCCUGGCAAUAAAGGGAAGAAGGUGUGAAAAGAAGUGGGGAAGUGCAGGAUACAGGGCGGGCUUGGAAAGAGGCAGAAACAAUCAGCUCUUUCUUGAGCCACAAAGAUUAGUUGAGAUUUUGCUUUUUGUUAUCUAUUUCCUUGAUUGACUGACCAGAAUGGGUUUUCUGAUGCAAGAGGAGAUGAUGGGAAAGGAGUUGUUUUCAGGGUGGCCAGAAUUGGGAAGGAUUUGCAUGGUUGGAAAGCCAGACCAGGUGAGUUUAGAGCUGGUGACAGCCAUGGCCUGGUCCUGUCAGGUGCUGAGCAUCCUUGGGUGCCUGUGGUGUGGAUUCAGUAGCUCUAAGGAUCAGGGACGAGCAGGCCUGCCUGUGGCUGAUGCCAUGUUGGAAGUGGAAGGCUCUCCCUCAGCCUGCUGUGGUGAGAUUUGGGUAAUGCCUGAUCUGCUUCCUUCUCUGUUCCUUCCUUCCUGCACUUCCAGAGCUCCAGGCAGUGCAGGUGGGAAGCCCAGGGAACAGUGCAGCGUAUCCCUGUAUGCACCAGAGCAGAGCCAAGCUGGGGCCCUCCAUCCUUGUCUUCAUGACACUGUCUCCCUGAUCAGGGGACUGCAGUGAUCAGGGGGCUGUGGGUCUCUGCCUGGUUUUUUCCUUUGGGCUGCUGGCAUUGCUAAAGGAAAGAUGAGGCACCAGCAGUGUUACCUGUUGGUCUGAAUGUGGCACCUUGUUAUUGCAGGGGAAGAAACUGUAGUGUCUUAGUGGAAAAUUCUGCAAUUUGUUUUCCUUGCCUCAGGUCACCUCCUGACUCUGGCUGUACUGUCUUGCUGGCACCUUUGCCAGCUGGCCUUCAUCCACAGCCUGUGUUUCUGGAGAUAUGCUCCCAGUGCCUCUGGGAGUGGGUCAGCCUGGGCUGCUUUGGCCACUGACAUGUCUUCUUGAAUGUGGCUCUGCAGCUGCCUAAGGCCAUCUCAGGGUAUUUCUCUACUUGAUGCUCAUCCAUCUUAAACCCAGUCCUUGCAUCUCCUGGGGAUGCACUCACCAGGCUCCUCACAAAUAUACGGGUAAGGCUGGCACCACCUCUUCCAGUGUAACUGCUCUUCAGUAAUGUCUAGGCUCAGUAACCAUGUAAUGGUGAAAGCAGCUGCCUGCCCUAGAGUCAUCCUGGGGAAAUAAAACACAGAACUGGGGUGAUCUGUGGUUUGUUAAGAGGGAGAAGGAGCCUAGAGAAGCACAGCCUUAGGACAGAGGACCUGAGCUGCCUGUUGAAGGUUAUCCCUCCUCUGCACCAUGGAAAUCAAAGAUAAGAAUGGAAAUGUGAUGGGUACAAUAGCCCUUGUUCAGCAGGCUCAGGAGAACCAGCCAUCUGAUUUGUUUUUAUGAGUGGUUUUACAGGCAGUCUUGCCAUGGUGCCCAUUGGUGUGAGCCAGCACUUCCCUCCAGAAUGGGCAAAACCAGAGAGCUUCAGAUGAGUCAGACACACCUGCUGUCCCCAGGACACAGACAGGGAAGUCUGUGCUGGUGUGCCCUUGUGUUUUAGGGCUGGAGGGUAUUGGCUCCUGAGCAGUUCAGAUGCUGACAUGUUCUUUAAAUGUUUGUGUUUGCAGAUUUGUGGAGGACAAGGGGAAUAACAAACAUGGUUUGCAUUUCUGGCAGCAGUUUUAAUAAGGUGAAAUGUCUUUACCUUGAGCAGGGCUUCUGCAUAUGUACAUAUGUGAGUGUUCACACGCGUGUGUGCACCUGGUGUCAUGGUCGGGACCUGGGGACCAGUUCCCUGAGCCCAGUCCUGCCACAGGCAAUACAUCAUGGGGGUCUCUGCCCCCAUCAGGUUCUGGCAUCACUCAGGAAAGAACAGUUUUAAUGGGGGCUUCAAUAACACUGUCUGCCUGGCUCAGUCCUGUGGCAUCUGACACACCUGUAGCUGCACAGCCCUCUUGCUCUGCUGACUUGCUGCCUGCUUGAGGCUCUGCAUCAAUAUGUCUCUAGAGAUGAAUGCCCCUGACCCCAGGCCUUCAGCAUAGUUUGUGGCUGUUGUGUAGCCAAUAGGCCCCUGUUCUUCCAAGUUUUUCUUCUUUUAUAUCCAACUUUAAGACCCUUGUUCCUAAUGGGAGCCCAGUUCUGUGUGUGAGUUCCCACUUUGUUUUCCACUUCUGUGUGUUGGAGCUCCAAGGUAGGAACCAACUUUAUGGGGCUAUGUUGUUCACUUCUCCUUUUCCCCUCCAUCCCCACUGCCUGCAUUUAUAGAGCCAAGUAUGAGCCUCUCUUGAAAUUGAUGUUUUUAACAUGAAAUACACUGUGUUAGCUUAGUUACUGAGAGGAAACAGAUUUAUCAGAUAAAUCCCAGCAGGCCCAUACAUGUUGUCACUGUCUGGAAUAGUGCAAUAAAAAUAUACAUUAAAAUAAGUAUAAAUACAUAUUUACAGGGUACAAGUAAAGCCAGGAGUACAGACUCUGUUUUGAGCUUCCAGAAUACAUAUUAAUGACUAACAGCUUAGGCAUAGCAUAAAACAGGGGCAAGUACAUUGUAGGUCUUAGGGGAAUAACUUUGGAUUUACAGCAGUGUAACUGAGGGCAGGACUCAUGUCUCCUGGAAAUGAAUGAAUUUUCCAUUUGGACUGUUUCCUCUUGGCCCAUGAUGGCAGCCUUUCUUCACUGGGGUGAAAUGGGUAGUGCCACAGCCCAUUCUCCAGGAUACUUCCCAUUGGUGCCAUUGUCCAAGGCCUUGUGCUCAGAGGGUGACUGGAGUGGGCUGUGCACUGCUACAAUGCCCUGCUUAACUGAAAGGACUUGUUGUUUUAAUGCUAUAGUAAGACUUUGUCCUUCCUGCUGAGAACUCAAGGGACUUUACAAACCUGAGUGAAUGACUCCACAUCACCAGGAGGGGUGGAGAAAUAAGAGCUCAGUGCAAUGACAUGUCAAAGGUCAUAUAGUGAGAAUGUAUCAAAGCUUGGAGGAGAACUGGCUCUUUGCUUGUUCCAGUGCUUUGCUUCAGCCCCUAGACCUGGAAGGAGGAGGAAAUACCACUGCUCUGUUUGUAUAAUGUUUGUGAAGUACUUGCAUGCUACACCAAUCUGUACAGACCAGGCUGCUUCCUCCUUUGAGAGUGGUUGGAAAGCAGAACUCUGGCCCUUGAUGUUGGUAUCCAAGGGCCAUUCCUGACCAUACAGUGACACAGGAUUGCCCAGGACAGCUCUGGGUUGGUAUGCCCAGCAUGCAGUGAAAUAUUGUGGGACAUACCAGCCUGGAUUCCAAGAGCAGCCAGUCUCUCUCCCGUGGCACUGAGAUGUGGGGCUGUUUAGCGUCUGCCUAGUCCUUGCUUGGUUGCCACUAGCCCAGGGAUGUUUGCAGCAUGGUGUAUGUGAGGAGUGCAUUUACAGACCCCUGUUAUCAGCUAGGGAUAGGAGCUGUUUUUUCAGUAUUUUCCUCCCACUCCAAGCUAAAAAUACAACACAGUUAACUUGUCAUUUGAACACAGUAAAUACUCUGCUGAAAGAAAAAGACUUUAGAUGUCUGUUACCAGAAUUUAUGGCCUGGGCAUGUCUCUGCAGAAGCCCUGUCCAGGUUGAACACAGCCCACUGACUACAAUCUAUUUGCAUGCCCUAGCCUUAUCUUUUUAACCAUCAAAGCAGAGCAUGGUUAUGGCACUAGUUUGGCGCAGAUUGUUGCUGCCACUUGCCCGUGAGUUCCCACCUCGCUGCUGCUCAGCCUGAUGAAGCACAGAUUCUGCACAUGGUGUAAAUCCAGAGUAAUAGUGACCUUGGAGGAAGUCCUCUGAAUUUGCACUUUGUGCAGGUGAUGGCAGAUCUGGGCUGGUACCUGUUGUAAUGGAAAGGUGAGAGCUUCCACAAGCUUCCAUGUCACUGCCUGGGAUGUGCAAGGCCCUGAUGUGCCAGAACACCCAAGCCAAUGACACGACUUUGCCAGUCCUCAGAGGAACAAAGGAUGCUACAUGAGCUUUGAGUUGGGCAGCCCCAUGUUGGAUGGAGAUGCUCGGGAGAGUUUUUUUCCCUGGAGGAUGCACCAGCAGUGGGAGCUCCAGCAAAGACCUGGAGCCAUCCCUCACUUGAGACUGUGUUGGGUGUCUCUGUGCCUCCGUAGAUCCACCUUGCGCUGGAAGCCUUUGGCACAGAGCUCACAGCUGAAGGGCUUGAAGCCAGUGUGCUUGCGGCUGUGGGUGAUGAGGUUGGAGCUCUGGCUGAAGGCUUUGCCACAUACCUGGCAUUUGUGGGGCUUCUCCCCUGCAAGAAAGAAAAAAAAUAGCAAGAAACACUUUUAGAGAUGAGAGAAGGGAGUUAGAAAUGUUCUUUAGCAGAGUUAGACCUGCCUGGCUAUGCUUGGGCAUCAGGAUGCGGCCAGCCAGGCUGUCCUGCUAAUUUGUCUACCCUCUGAUCCAGCACAAGAAGGUGAGAAGAACAAGGGGCAGUCCUCUCCAGCUGUGUCACCCAUUCCCUGUCUGCAUUCAGGGCUGAGGACAACUCUGAGAUGCACCAGAGGCUGCUCAAUAACCACGUCCUUGUCACACAGAGGAGGACGUGCAUCUUGGGGAUGCCUAGAACCUUCUCACCACACAGGGAACACUGACUUUCCAGUGCCUCUGUACACUUACCUUUGGUCCAAUAUUUCUGUGUCUGGGCACUACAUAUGCAUAUCAUCAUGAUGAACUGUAAUUUGCAUGUUCUUAUUGGGAAUGGUUUGUUUCUCACCAGUGUGGAUGUAAGUGUGUUUCUUCAUAUCUGACUUCUGGUGGAAGCGCUUGCCACAGUACUGGCAGGGAUAGGGCCUUGUGUCUGAAUGGAUCAGGAGAUGAGUGGAGAGGGUGGAGGAACGUUUGAAUGUCUUCCCACACAUCUUGCACUCAAAACUUCUUUCCUGAUAGGGAAAGAAAAAUCACGGGAUGUCUGUGAGACGUGUGACUGCUUGAAAAGUGUUAAGAACGGUAGAUUUGAUAGGCAAAUGUUCUCAGCUAGUGGACUGAUAACGAUAGGUGCAGUACAAAGAGAGUUACUUAUGGAAAUGGAUUACAUCUUGUUAUCCAAACUCCUGCUCCCUUUAGGAAGAGGUGAGACACAAAGGAACCAGCAGCAAUGAUCCUCCCCUUCUGUACAAGGAAUUCUCAAGGGUAGUCUGAGAUUUGCAGACCUAUGACCUAUGGUCUUCAGAACUCCUAUCAUUGGGUGCUCCAGGAAAGCCAUCAGUUUGUAACCUGGGAAAUAUCACUUGCUUUAUAAUGGAGGAAGCACCAGCUAAGGUUCAACACUUGUGAGAGUUCUGGAGAGUUUGUUCUCUGGAAGCAUGCUGCCCACCUGGGAGUGAAUAUUGGUGUGCUGCUCCAGGCUUACGGCGUGUCCAAAGGUUUUGCCACAUACUUCACAAGCGAAGGGACGAGUGCCACUGUGAGACCUUCUGACAUGGACCUCCAGUCCAUGUGGAGUGGAAAAUACCUGCAAAACCAGAUGCCAGUGAGGUUUUUUGUUUGACAUGAAGCAGCUGUGUCUCUGUAUCUGUUUUCAAUUCCUUAUUCUCUCUCAUGAGCCAUGUAAACUGCAUCAUUCUUAGCCCCCUUGUCCCUUAGUUGGGAGAACAAGUGGGUACCCAUUUUGAGCCCUGUGCAUUGUACUUUGUUACAUACCUGGUGAAACACUGUGUGCAUGGAAAAAUCCCUCCAGCCCCUCCCCAAGCCAGAGAUUCUCCUCUGUGACACACCUUGUUGCACUUCACACAGUGGUAGGUCUCCAUGUCUGAGGAGUAAUGCAUGCUGUAAUCUAGAGGGGGCUCUGUGCUUGGCAGGAGAUGGCUUCCAUACAGGCUGACUGGGUGCUCCAAGAGGGCUGACUGCAUGCUGGAAGACAUCUGUCGGUAGCUGUACGGCAAGUGGAAGGCGUCCCAAGAAAAGCCGGUUUUGUAGAAGCUCUCUGCCCUGGCUACAGGACACUGCAUCUCUGACCUUACCCUCACUGAGAAGGAUGCACUGGGGACUGUGGCAUGGAGAUCACCCCUCAGAGAAAAGAUCUGUCUUGUGUUUGUACCACACCUGGAAGAGCACAGUCUCAAGCCAUGGAUUCUUCUGUGAAAUUGCUACACAAAUAAUAACUAUAGAAACAACAUCAGUAAUAGGAGAGACACAGCAGAAAAUCCCCACAGUUGUGAUGUGUGAGCAGAGAAAGAGGUUCUGGCACUGGGUAACCCUGAAUAUAGGGUGAAAGCCUGCACCCAGCAGUACCUGCUGGAAGAGUCACUCUCCAUGCCCACCACCUAGAAGACCUUAUGGCAUUAGCUGGACAUUUUAGCAAGGGUCAGCAGAGAAGGGAGAGCUGCAGAGGUCUUAUCUGGGCUCACAUAAGUAUGUCCUGGCCCUGACCCACACAGGCCACGGUGGAGCUCUGCCUGUGUCUGAGGGACGGUUUGUGUACUGCUGUGAGUUCUCACUAUGGCAUAUGCUCCAAUGCAUCCUAAGUGAAUAGAUUAUUGAAUGUAUAACCCGGUAAUAGUAAACAGGUUCAUUACAGCACAUCAUGUCCACUCUAAUGCUGUCGUUUUCCCUUUCAAAUCCAGCAGAAAACCCCUCCUAUAGCAUCCAUGUUCUCUUUGUCAAUUUGAAUGUUACAGUAAUUAAGACACAGUAAAAUAACACAACUAAUUGCUUCCAGCUCUUUUCUGAAGCUCAUCCUAAUUUCCACUCUUUUCUGUGGUGGAUUAAAUAAACAUGUCUCCUGCACAGCAGGAAAAAAAAUACCAUCACUCAGUCCAGACUGUAAUAAAUAUUAAUUGCCAUGCACGAGGCAGGACUAGAUUGAAAACAGGCUGGCUCCAAGCAACUCUACCUCAUCCUGAAGCAGGAUGACCCAUUGCAGGUGCAGCACGAAGGAAUCUCUUGGCCUUGGAGGAAUGAGAACUGUGAAACAUCACAUUAUUUAACAGAAGUAAAAAAAAUCAACCGAUGUUUCUCAGAUAGUGCUCUAAUCUGCUUUGCUUUUCUUACACCUAGCUUCUAGCUUGCAACUUUAAUGUCCUUGGUUCAUACUGGCAUUUGAGGAGGAUUCAGAUGGAUUGAAAAGCUAGAGCAGCAGCUUGUAAAGCACCAUCAGUGUAUCCCCCCUGAACUGCCCUUUAUUGGGGAAUGGAAGAUGAAACCUCAGUCAGAGCCCUCCUGAUGCUGGUCUGGGGACUGAAGUAUAGAACUGCAAAUUUAUGGUGUGCAGCAGAGAACCUGCUCUGAGGUAGCUUCCAUUCCUCUUUCCUUAAACCUUCCUGGCCAUAGGAAAAAAGCCUUAUCUAGAAGGAAGGAUGAAACGGUUUACGUUGUAUUGUUGUUGCAUGCCAGCAAAAUAAAGGAAAAAACCUCUUGUCCGUGUCUCGCCCGAGGUGUUGUGGGGUCUGAAACGGCAAUAACGGAGCUUCGCCUGUGGACCAAGGAGCAGCAAUCAGCGCUGGGGCGCCUGCCCUGGAGCUCCCAGGACUCCAGCAGUACGGUACACACAGCUGUCCCGCUAACGUUACUCCACACACACACAGACAUUUUUAAGACCUUUUUACUCGGCACGUUAACGCACUUCACAGAGGCUCUGCGGCAGGAGCC